This is a long non-coding RNA of Hydractinia symbiolongicarpus, 2029 nucleotides long. RefSeq lists it as uncharacterized. The record is from RefSeq and is a predicted model, not a curated record. Lineage: Eukaryota; Metazoa; Cnidaria; Hydrozoa; Anthoathecata; Hydractiniidae. The transcript is spliced from 3 exons.
AGAUAAACCAAGGUAUAAAGUUGUCAAUUUGAUUAACCAUUGUUACAUGUCGGUUUUUUUUUUUAUUAUUUGCAGUUUUUUAAAAAUGUUAUAUCUCUGUCUAAAGUUUUGAAAAUCCUUUGUUUGAUAAAACAGCAUCUUUGGUUGUUGUUUUGUUCUAAAUCUUUUUAUUUUACUUUCAAAUUAUUAUAUCUCUAGCCCAUUUCGUGAUGGAAACGAGCAGUUAUCCAAUUUUAUUAAACAGCAUAUCAGGGGAUACGAUAAAGAUAUAACUGAUGACAUAAUAAUAGCAUCAAUUGAACAAUAUUUCACAUCAAAGAAGACAAUGAGAAAGAAGGGGUCUCAUCGAUAAAACAUUAAAGCAGUCGCUGCUUCUACACAGCGCAAGUUGAAUAAAAGUAAAAGACGGACGAAGGUUCUUCAAGCAAUGAACCUGCCUGAAGAAAAGAAGGCAAAAGUUUUGAAAGUCCUUGGGGUACAGUAUAUGUCAUCAGAGGAAGAGAUAGAUGAUAACAAUGGGCGAUAUUUUACUGUCCAUUCGCUUCCGUGGAGAUGCAAAAAUUGAAUUCAACUUUUAAAAAACUCGAUGCAAGACAUCAAGAAAAUCAAAACAAAAGAAGCAAAAAUCAGACCGUGCGUCGCGAGGAAGGACAACCAUCAGAACGAAACCCGCCACCAGAUGCUCCUUCAUUUGCCAUUGCUCCUUUUGAUGAAUCACAAUAAAAUAUUGAACAUUCGUGACAUUCCUAAAAAGAUUUUUUUGUAUAUAUUUAGAGAAAACAUUUUUGUUUAUAAGUUUUUGUAAAUAGACAUACAUCUUGUGAUAUUUGUUUCUCUCUUCCUUGCACCUUCUGUAUACGUCAAUCAUCCCAUCCUGCAAGCUUUAGGAUAUUCAUUAUUUUUAUCAGGUGGAUGAGAUUAUAGGUACUUUUAACUCCUAACUCAAUAAAAACUAAAAAAAAAUUAAGAAAGGAAAUUGAGCUCUUGUUGAAAAGUAUUUGCAGGUUAUAAUAAAGGAAAUUUUAGUUAAAAAGCGGAGCAUAAUUUUUUAAAAAAACAUUACAAAAUCUGGUAUUUUCGUAAAGAUUAUGUCAAAUAAACGCAGAUCAUCGGACAAUUACUUCGCUAAAAAAAUGUAUAAUCUUUUCCAGAAAGUUCGUAUAAUUGCGUGUUUUCGGCUGUGAUUAUUUUAUAUAAAAUGCAUAUAAUCUAUCAGAUUAGUUAACAUAUGGAAAUAAUUGAUUCGCGAAAAUUUCAUAUAAUCGAAUUUUCGAUUAUGUCUGAAAUAUUUAGAUUAUUCUGAAUAAUCGAAUAUAAUUUUGCAUAAUCUCAUUACCGAUUAUUCCUUUUUUCGUGCAGUGAUUCGAAAACAUUCAUAUGCAGAAUCUGUUCUGUCUUUGACCACACGCUUCCCGUUCUGGUACCAUGGAAAACUGCCCCCCAACCUUUCAUAAAAGCAUCUCCCUGUAACAAAAUUUGUGCUUCAGAUUGCACAAGCGAACGCCCAUUGUACAAAAUUAGAUUGUUUACCCACCAUAAAAGUUCCUUUAGAGACUCCUUCUUUAAAUGCACUAGGAUGGCAUAAGUUUUUGAUGCUUUUAGAUUUGAAUUUGUUGUUAUAGAAAAAAACUCCAGACAUGUUGGCAGAACUGCUUGUAUGGUGGAGGAAAGAGCUCCUAUUAAUUGAGUUAGCUCCAAAAUAGUAGCCUCUUGCCUCAAGCACUGUUUCUGUACUCAAGCACUGUUUCUGUACUCAAGCACUGUUUCUGUACUCAAGCACUGCUUCUGUUUUUUGGCAACUUUCUCCCUUGUUAGAUACAGAAAUUUUCCGGGUUGCCUUUAGGGCAGAUUUUUUCAAAUUUAUUAGAAAUCCUAAAUUUUGUAACAGGAAAAUCAAAGUGUCUUGUGCCAUCAGGACCUCCUCUUGGCACCGUCCUAAAACUAACAAUCGUCUAAGCAAAUUAUAAGUCGUAUCAAUAAUCGACGAAGUACUGCCAUAGGGAACAAAGACAGAGGAAUUCGUAUAGGU